UUUGUUACGCUGUCGGGACCCCUGACCGUUUGGCCAUUUUCAUUGUUUCUCCAUCUCGUCCAAAUCCGGUUCUAAGAGCUAAUACGGCGAAGCUCAUAAGAAAAUGAAAGAACACACAUUUCGAGGAGAACACAAAAAGACGCUCGUGUUCGUCAGUCGAUUUUCACGGGACACGAUCAAGUACAGGCGACGUCAUUCCGACCCAAUGUGGAUCCUUCGAACGGCCGUUUUUCUUCUUACUGUCGGCGUGAAUCACCGUUGGACAACGAACACCGUCCAAUCGUUUCCCACGCAGUUGGCCUAGUUAACUAUUAGUUAGCAUUUCUGUCAAUGUCUUAUCGCACCGUGAUUUUGUUUGAAUCGAGGGAAAGAGAGAAGAAGAGUGCGUUCUCAUUGAUUCCGUUGUUGUCGGGUCCCGAUCGAAUGCCAAUGGAAUGUUAUUUUGGGGGGGAAAAAAAAAUAAUAAUUUCUGGGCAAGGCAAAGAGGGAAAAAGGACUCGAGUCAAGUCAUGGUCGUGCCACGAAAAUCCGUUUUGAUACCUAUUAUUCAUCUUGUUCUUGUGUUAUUUUUCACAGUUCGUGUUUUUGUUCCGCGUCGGGAUCGAAAUGUGUCGCCGCAAACUGUCGGUGCGUGUAGCGAUUGGCGUGGCCCAAUCGAUUGGUCUCGAUACAGCGUGAACGGUAUGGGCUCAAAUGCUGCGCUCGGUAAGAUCACGAUCCGAUGAGUACGAUGAGAACGAAAGAGAAUAUGCGGGACUCAUCUUUUUUUCUAUUUCUGUCGUGUUUCUAAUUAUUUUCUCCUGGGCGUUUCAUCUUUUUUUUUUCCUAUCUUUCAUUUUCGCAUGUACAGCAUUUUUCUCGUUGUUUUGCUUUGUAUUCUUUUUCUUGUCACUCGUUCUUGUGGUGGUAGGUGGCACCGUACCCUUUGAACGAGAUGAGAGGCAUAUAACACGUGCAAUGAGGAGGGAGUUUGAUAGUAGAAAGAAGAAAAAAAGAGUCAAAAGAAGAAGAAGAAGAAUAGACCAAGGCCGACAUGCUGUGUGUUUGAAAACGACACGCCGAAUACAAUCGAUGGCCUUGCGUCUUGUACGUAAUUGAGGCCGUUUGAAUGUUUAAAACAUGAUCAUUUUGCUUGCAGUGGCGGUGGUGGUCUAUUGUUCGAUUGAUUAUUGCGGCGCAAUUCGAAAAGAAAAAGAUAAGGUCAUUUCUUUUUAUUCGAUUCUAAGAAAAUCUUCGCAAAGAUAACACGGGGUCAAGUUAAACUUGAAGUCUUAAAAGUUGGUAAUGUAGAUAAAUUAAUUUUUAAACAUUUUUUUAGCACUUUUCGUGAUGCCAUUUUGCUUUUUUCCAAACACAAAAAAAAUUUCGUGGCAGAGGAAAAUGUGUUAACUUUGAUGAGGCAAUUAAAUUCAGGUGCUCCUGAGCGGAUGCUAUAUAAUAUCGAUAGUUUUUCUGGUGUUUAAAUGUUUUCUGGUCGAUGUUUGUUGGCUCUUCCAGCAGCGCCUCUUCCUUUAUUUUGUUUUUUGGCACAUCUUUCCUCGACCUUUUUGGGGGUGUCUGCCCUUUCUCCGUUUUUCUGUUUUAUUGCCGUGCUCGUUUUUUAUACUGUAGAAACGGCAACAAAAUAAAAGAAAGAAGAUGGGGAAAAAA
This 1650-nucleotide long non-coding RNA is filed under the name Daphnia magna. RNAcentral describes it as "uncharacterized LOC116915919". Lineage: Eukaryota; Metazoa; Arthropoda; Branchiopoda; Diplostraca; Daphniidae. The record is from RNAcentral.